This 253-nucleotide ribosomal RNA is filed under the name uncultured bacterium. RNAcentral describes it as "partial 16S ribosomal RNA". It matches the Rfam family "Bacterial small subunit ribosomal RNA", at positions 524 to 776 of the family's 1533-position model. The record is from RNAcentral.
UACGUAGGGUGCAGGCGUUAAUCGGAAUUACUGGGCGUAAAGCGUGCGCAGGCGGCCUCUUAAGUCAGAUGUGAAAUCCCCGGGCUUAACCGGGGAACUGCGUCUGAUACUGGAUGGCUGGAGGUUGGGAGAGGGAUGCGGAAUUCCAGGUGUAGCGGUGAAAUGCGUAGAUAUCUGGAGGAACACCGGUGGCGAAGGCGGCAUCCUGGACCAAUUCUGACGCUGAGGAGCGAAAGCCAGGGGAGCAAACGGG